Long non-coding RNA from Esox lucius (northern pike), 2953 nucleotides. The record is from Ensembl. NCBI's taxonomy places the organism in Eukaryota, Metazoa, Chordata, Actinopteri, Esociformes, Esocidae.
CCCAGACCUAGCCUAGCGGGCAAUGCCUGUCAUUCAAUUAGCGAUAGCCCACACAGGGCAACAGACAGGCAACAACGGUCUGUCGCUAACCGCCAACAAAGCAACCCACACUUCAGGUUAUCUCCUCACCUACAAUCGUCCACAUGGACCACAAGAUCGAGGCGGUGCUGAAGAUCCUGGUGGACCAGUACAAACCCGACGAGGAGCUGAUAGAGAAGCCGCCGCCCCCUCCGCCCCGAGCUCCGUGCGUCCCCCGGGUCUCCAUCACCAGGGGGUCGAGCUCCGCCUUCAGUUUCGAUGGCGUGCAGUGACGUCACAGCGGGACAGAGCGGCGCCGGCAGGGUCCUCCACCAGUGCCUGGCGGGGUCGGGCAUAAGACAUCCUGCCUGGGCAGCGGGACCAUCACUCCGAUGGAGGGACCACUCCACCUACCUCAUUUAGAAGGUGGCGUAGUUGCCCACCGACCUCAUGCUUUUCCCCUGGGCUCUGUUCGAUCUGUACGGCUGAAGCGUUGCGGAUCGCGCAGCGACAAAUGUGGAGGUGAUUUCCAGUUGAGCCGAGAUACAGCGUUAGCAGAAAGUUGGCUUGAAAUGUCAACCGCGCUCUAACGCCAAGCUUCAGCGAUACGCAUCGAAUAGAGCCCUUACUUUCAGAAUCCCCGAACCCUUUAUAUCACCGUCUUUGACCUCAGAGAAAGACGGCAAACAACUCAACGCGGCUUUUGUUGCUAUGUGGGAAGCACUCGUCUGUCAGGGCAGCUAAGAGAAUUGGGAGACGUUGACAGUGAUAUCCAGCACAGUCCUGCCAUCCACCCUCCCUCCCCAUCUCAAUUCAUUCUGGAGUUUCUUGUCUCUUUCUCCUACUCUAAUAACAGCCCCAUAAACAUCCGCUGUUGAAAAUGUCCACAUCGUACCAUAGUGAGAACACAAACGACCUGUUAUACGGUUCAUUAGCCUGUCACUUCUACUCCUCGGUAUGGAGCGUUUCCGUCCUUGGCUGGAUGGAUAGAACAGUGCUGUAAAAUGGUCUAAAUGGUGCCAAGAUUGUGACACUCGAGUAUGUUCUCUGUUGAGUGCUGCAUCCUUCUCAGGGCUGCGUCCUUUAUACUAUCGCUCAGUGAGGCUCAUCCAAGCGCCGCAAUAUUAUUCUUAAGCAAACCAGCAGUUGGUGUGAAACACAAUGAUCAGCGAUUAGAUCGUGUCCAUCCGGUCGUAACGUCAAAGCCAUUGAAGCGUAUUCUGAAAAACACACGUGUGGGUUCCGACGAUGUGUUCACUUUCUAAACGUCUCCAGAGAGGGAGUGAGACCAGACUCGGAGAAGAGAUGUGUGCGGGGCACGGCGUUAGGGUCAGCUGGUAACAGUGAGUAGCCAGUCGACUGAAGCGUUUGCUAAAUGCCCGGAUGGAGGCCCGGCAGUCUAACAGCGGAAUUCUUCCAACUCUAAUGAUCUUGGCACUGUUUAAACAAAAGUACAGUGCGGCUGUUUCCAUGAAGCCACCGAUUCAUCUCCCCUUGGACUGUAUUCAGGGCGAGGGGAGAUGAUGGAGUGACCUAUAGGAGAACCAGGAGAUGACUCGUUGACCGGGGUCUGCAUCGUUAUUGGGCAGCGAGAGCGUAGUAGGAGGAGACCGCAGCUCUGCAGGAACCAGUCUGUCGCUGAUGUACAGUGAAGGUUAGGCUAAUAAAAAUAGCAAAACAGCCAUGACAAGGCAGAGUGUUAUGUUACAGAAAUACUGCAUGGGGGAAGAACAGUGCAGGGAGUUAUGGUAUGGCCUUUUGCAGUUGACCCCGUGCCAAUAUCACUGGGAUAUUUAUAUGAACCACUUCAUUCCCCACCCUCUGUUUUUCAUGAUAAAACACUUCUAUUUUCCCCCUUCCAGACUCCAAACUGCUGUGUGCAAUUUGAAAUGAAUUUGCCCCAUUAGAGCACUGAUUAUUUGUCUGUCUCUUGCUAAUUAAGUGCUGAAUUCCUGGUGAAGGGAGAUUACUCUGUGUGUGCGUUUACUAAUGAAAAGAAACACUGGAAAAAUGUGUACAAUUUAAACAGUAGGCUUUGAGCCGCUCACUUCAUAAUUCAGUGUGAAGGGCCUGAAAUAUCAGGCUACCCCUAAAGGAGAGGUAGAUGUACCAGGCUUCAGCUUCAGAUUUCACUGUAAAGCCCUUUAGAGCAUUUGAAUAUGAAUAAAUAAUGUAUCUAUUUUUUUUGUUCUCACUACACAUAUGUUGUAUGCCAGCUGGGUUUAGCCAGUAGAAAAUAGUAAACAAUAACCAAACUAUGUAUGCAAGCCCUUUUAUAAAUGUAGUACACACAGUCCUCAAAAGAUGGCGACAAAAGAGGGGGUGAAAAGGCAAAAGAAAACAUGGAGAGAGGGAAGGAAAAAUGGAGAGAGGAAAGGAAAAAUGGAGAGAGGAAAGGAAAAAUGGAGAGAGGGAAAGAAAAAUGGAGAGAGGGAAAGAAAAAUGGAGAAAGGGAAGGAAAAAUGGAGAGAGGGAAAGAAAAAUGGAGAAAGGGAAGGAAAAAUGGAGAGAGGGAAAGAAAAAUGGAGAGAGGAAAGGAAAAAUGGAGAGAGGGAAGGAAAAAUGGAGAGAGGGAAGGAAAAAUGGAGAGAGGGAAAGAGAAAUGGAGAAAGGGAAGGAACCCUCUGCAUUGCUGGUAUAUAUCUUUUCAUUUUGCUGUGGUUGAAGAUUAGUUGCAUGUAUUUUCUAUAAUAUAAUAUAUUUUUUAUUUUCUUCAAAGCAGCUAAGUCGGUUAGAGAUUCCUAGAGAUAACUGCUCCAUCCAUCUGGCUGUCUGACCAUUCUCCUGUACAGUUUUAUAAGAGUUGUAAAUAGUUACACUGCCUUAUAUUUAUUACCAUGUGGAACAAUCAACCUGAAAAGACUUGUGGUUUGCAGGGAUAAUGGGAAACAAAGUGUUUUAAAAUGGAUUGGUAUGACUGUAAAUUAUAUUCAUA